RNAcentral lists this transfer RNA (73 nucleotides) under Stegodyphus mimosarum. It matches the Rfam family "tRNA". From Rfam's summary of the family: Transfer RNA (tRNA) molecules are approximately 80 nucleotides in length. Their secondary structure includes four short double-helical elements and three loops (D, anti-codon, and T loops). Lineage: Eukaryota; Metazoa; Arthropoda; Arachnida; Araneae; Eresidae. The record is from Rfam by way of RNAcentral.
GCCUUCGUGGUGUAGUGGUAAGCACGCUGAGCCCAUACUCCAGAGGUCAGUGGUUCGAGUCCCGGCGAAGGCG